RNAcentral lists this ribosomal RNA (253 nucleotides) under uncultured bacterium. RNAcentral's name for it is "partial 16S ribosomal RNA". It matches the Rfam family "Bacterial small subunit ribosomal RNA", at positions 524 to 776 of the family's 1533-position model. The record is from RNAcentral.
UACGUAGGGGGCUAGCGUUGUCCGGAUUUAUUGGGCGUAAAGAGCGUGUAGGCGGCCAGGUAGGUCGGUUGUGAAAACUAGAGGCUUAACCUCUAGACGUCGACCGAAACCAUCUGGCUAGAGUCCGGAAGAGGAGAGUGGAAUUCCUGGUGUAGCGGUGAAAUGCGCAGAUAUCAGGAAGAACACCCGUGGCGAAAGCGGCUCUCUGGGACGGUACUGACGCUGAGACGCGGAAGCGUGGGGAGCGAACAGG